GCAAAGACGUAGAAGAGAAGAGUAGUAAGCGGAUGCUUUUACAGAGAGUUCCCGGAUGCUGAGAGGGAGCAGAGAUAGGCUUAUGAAGAUGGUCUCAGAGUUGCAUGGUCGAAUAUUUUAGAUCAUGACGGGGUGCGCCCGUUACAGCGAUAGAGUAUAAACCGUUCCCAGAUAAGCCGCGAAAGUGGCCUGUCGAUGUCCGGCCGUACUUGAAGAGGUCUGAUUGCGUGAGCGUCAGACGAAGUUAGGUGGUACCACGAAGCAGCAGCUUUCGUCCUAAUA
Molecule: non-coding RNA, 282 nt
Filed under: [Clostridium] symbiosum
Lineage: Bacteria; Bacillati; Bacillota; Clostridia; Lachnospirales; Lachnospiraceae
Description: Clostridium symbiosum T-box sequence
Rfam family: T-box leader
About the family: Uncharged tRNA acts as the effector for transcription antitermination of genes in the T-box leader family.
Source: RNAcentral